GACGAACGCUGGCGGCGUGCUUAACACAUGCAAGUCGAACGGAAAGGCCCUGCUUUUGUGGGGUGCUCGAGUGGCGAACGGGUGAGUAACACGUGAGUAACCUGCCCUUGACUUUGGGAUAACUUCAGGAAACUGGGGCUAAUACCGGAUAGGAGCUCCUGCUGCAUGGUGGGGGUUGGAAAGUUUCGGCGGUUGGGGAUGGACUCGCGGCUUAUCAGCUUGUUGGUGGGGUAGUGGCUUACCCAGGCUUUGACGGGUAGCCGGCCUGAGAGGGUGACCGGCCACAUUGGGACUGAGAUACGGCCCAGACUCCUACGGGAGGCAGCAGUGGGGAAGAUUGCACAAUGGGCGGAAGCCUGAUGCAGCAACGCCGCGUGCGGGAUGACGGCCUUCGGGUUGUAAACCGCUUUCGCCUGUGACGAAGCGUGAGUGACGGUAAUGGGUAAAGAAGCACCGGCUAACUACGUG
This 468-nucleotide ribosomal RNA is filed under the name uncultured bacterium. RNAcentral describes it as "partial 16S ribosomal RNA". It matches the Rfam family "Bacterial small subunit ribosomal RNA", at positions 28 to 507 of the family's 1533-position model. The record is from RNAcentral.